Molecule: non-coding RNA, 71 nt
Filed under: unclassified sequences
Description: DUF3800-IX RNA
Rfam family: DUF3800-IX RNA
About the family: Actinobacteria, Firmicutes (1 example), Nitrospirae, Proteobacteria, Verrucomicrobia (1 example). Nearby to DUF3800
Source: Rfam by way of RNAcentral
GAUCCAGUCUCCGAAUUGUCACCGUAUGGUGUGCGUUUCUUGGAUUCCCUAGAAUAGGAGCUAGAUCGUUU